RNAcentral lists this ribosomal RNA (392 nucleotides) under uncultured bacterium. Its description in RNAcentral is "bacterial SSU rRNA". It matches the Rfam family "Bacterial small subunit ribosomal RNA", at positions 29 to 424 of the family's 1533-position model. The record is from RNAcentral.
AUUGAACGCUGGCGGCAUGCCUUACACAUGCAAGUCGAACGGUAACGCGGGGCAACCUGGCGACGAGUGGCGAACGGGUGAGUAAUAUAUCGGAACGUGCCCAGUAGUGGGGGAUAGCCCGGCGAAAGCCGGAUUAAUACCGCAUGAGACCUGAGGGUGAAAGCGGGGGAUCGCAAGACCUCGCGCUAUUGGAGCGGCCGAUAUCAGAUUAGGUAGUUGGUGGGGUAAAGGCCUACCAAGCCGACGAUCUGUAGCUGGUCUGAGAGGACGACCAGCCACACUGGGACUGAGACACGGCCCAGACUCCUACGGGAGGCAGCAGUGGGGAAUUUUGGACAAUGGGCGCAAGCCUGAUCCAGCCAUGCCGCGUGCGGGAAGAAGGCCUUCGGGUU